Molecule: unclassified non-coding RNA, 189 nt
Filed under: soil metagenome
Description: partial internal transcribed spacer 1
Source: RNAcentral
CAAGAGUAUUUCAGUUGGCUUUAUGCCCUCUGAAAAUCUCCACCCUUUGUUUACUAUUACCUUUGUUGUUGCCGCUAGUCGGUGGGUGCACUUUAUAGGCACCUGGCCGGCAGACACCGUUCAAAUACGCCUUGAUUGUAAUACUAUAGUCAGAGCUGUAACAAGCAAAGAGAUUAAAUAAUUAAUCAG